This 521-nucleotide ribosomal RNA is filed under the name uncultured bacterium. RNAcentral describes it as "bacterial SSU rRNA". It matches the Rfam family "Archaeal small subunit ribosomal RNA", at positions 345 to 866 of the family's 1478-position model. The record is from RNAcentral.
AACCUCCGCAAUGUGAGAAAUCGCGACGGGGGGAUCCCAAGUGCCAUUCUUAACGGGAUGGCUUUUCAUUAGUGUAAAGAGCUUUUGGAAUAAGAGCUGGGCAAGACCGGUGCCAGCCGCCGCGGUAACACCGGCAGCUCUAGUGGUAGCAAUUUUUAUUGGGCCUAAAGCGUCCGUAGCCGGUUUAAUAAGUCUCUGGUGAAAUCCUGCAGCUUAACUGUGGGAAUUGCUGGAGAUACUAUUAGACUUGAGACCGGGAGAGGUUGGAGGUACUCCCAGGGUAGAGGUGAAAUUCUGUAAUCCUGGGAGGACCGCCUGUUGCGAAGGCGUCUAACUGGAACGGCUCUGACGGUGAGGGACGAAAGUUAGGGGCGCGAACCGGAUUAGAUACCCGGGUAGUCCUAACUGUAAACGAUGCGGACUUGGUGUUGGGGUGGCUUUGAGCUGCUCCAGUGCCGAAGGGAAGCUGUUAAGUCCGCCGCCUGGGAAGUACGGUCGCAAGACUGAAACUUAAAGGAAUU